RNAcentral lists this ribosomal RNA (896 nucleotides) under Macaca mulatta (Rhesus monkey). RNAcentral describes it as "partial 16S ribosomal RNA". The stretch from base 153 to 896 matches the Rfam family "Bacterial large subunit ribosomal RNA", at positions 569 to 1886 of the family's 2925-position model. Lineage: Eukaryota; Metazoa; Chordata; Mammalia; Primates; Cercopithecidae. The record is from RNAcentral.
GCCAAUACUAGCCCUAAGCAUAACCAACACUAAUACCAAACCAACAUACACUAAACCAUUCACCUACACAAAGUAUAGGCGAUAGAAAUUUUAAUCUGGCGCUAUAGACGCAGUACCGUAAGGGAAAGAUAAAAACCACCCAAGCACAAAACAGCAAGGACUAACUCCUGUACCUUUCGCAUAAUGAAUUAGCUAGAAACAAUUUCACAAAGAGAACUACAAGCCAAAUUCCCCGAAACCAGACGAGCUACCCAAAAACAGCUAAAAGAGCGCACCCAUCUAUGUGGCAAAAUAGUGGGAAGAUUUCUGGGUAGAGGUGACAAGCCUACCGAGCCUGGUGAUAGCUGGUUAUCCAAGACAGAAUCUUAGUUCAACCUUAAGCUUACCUAUAGAACCACCUAAUCCCCCUGUAAGCUUAAUUGCUAGUCUAAAGAGGGACAGCUCUUUAGACACUAGGAAAAAACCUUAUAGAGAGAGUAAAACCCUCAAUUACCAUAGUUGGCUUAAAAGCAGCCAUCAAUUAAGAAAGCGUUCAAGCUCAACACCAACCACCCCAAAAAUACCAAACACAUAACUGAACUCCUCACACCACAUUGGAUUAAUCUAUCACCAUAUAGAAGCAAUAAUGCUAGUAUAAGUAACAUGAAUAUUUUCUCCACUGCAUAAGCCCAAAUCGGAUCGAAAACCUCACCGAUACCUAACAGCCAGGCAUAGCAAGCACAAACAAGCCCAUGCUACCUUCACUGUUAACCCAACACAGGUAUGCCUCAAGGAAAGGUUAAAAAAAGUAAAAGGAACUCGGCAAACUUAAACCCCGCCUGUUUACCAAAAACAUCACCUCUAGCAUUACUAGUAUUAGAGGCACUGCCUGCCCAGUGACACACGUUUAACGGCCG